RNAcentral lists this ribosomal RNA (379 nucleotides) under uncultured eukaryote. Its description in RNAcentral is "partial 18S ribosomal RNA". It matches the Rfam family "Eukaryotic small subunit ribosomal RNA", at positions 592 to 976 of the family's 1831-position model. The record is from RNAcentral.
CAAUAGCGUAUAUUUAAGUUGUUGCAGUUAAAAAGCUCGUAGUUGGAUUUUGGGUCGGGGGCACCGGUCCGCCGUUCCGGUGUGCACUGGUGGCCCCUUCCUUUCUGCCGGGGACGUGCGUCGCACUUAAUUGGGUGGCGUUCGGAGUCGGCGUUGUUACUUUGAAAAAAUUAGAGUGUUCAAAGCAAGCCAUCGCUCUGAAUACAUUAGCAUGGAAUAACAUGAUAGGACUCCGGUCUUAUUUUGUUGGUUUCCGAGACUGGAGUAAUGAUUGAGAGGGACAGUCGGGGGCAUCCGUAUUUCAUUGUCAGAGGUGAAAUUCUUGGAUUUAUGAAAGACGAACUUCUGCGAAAGCAUUUGCCAAGGAUGUUUUCAUUAA